GAUGAACGCUGGCGGCGUGCCUAAUACAUGCAAGUCGAGCGAACAGACGAGGAGCUUGCUCCUCUGACGUUAGCGGCGGACGGGUGAGUAACACGUGGAUAACCUACCUAUAAGACUGGGAUAACUUCGGGAAACCGGAGCUAAUACCGGAUAAUAUAUUGAACCGCAUGGUUCAAUAGUGAAAGACGGUUUUGCUGUCACUUAUAGAUGGAUCCGCGCCGCAUUAGCUAGUUGGUAAGGUAACGGCUUACCAAGGCAACGAUGCGUAGCCGACCUGAGAGGGUGAUCGGCCACACUGGAACUGAGACACGGUCCAGACUCCUACGGGAGGCAGCAGUAGGGAAUCUUCGGCAAUGGGCGAAAGCCUGACGGAGCAACGCCGCGUGAGUGAUGAAGGUCUUCGGAUCGUAAAACUCUGUUAUUAGGGAAGAACAAAUGUGGAAUUAACUAUGCACGUCUUGACGGUACCUAAACAGAAAGCAACGGCUAACUACGUG
This 497-nucleotide ribosomal RNA is filed under the name uncultured bacterium. RNAcentral describes it as "partial 16S ribosomal RNA". It matches the Rfam family "Bacterial small subunit ribosomal RNA", at positions 28 to 507 of the family's 1533-position model. The record is from RNAcentral.